Molecule: long non-coding RNA, 821 nt
Filed under: Homo sapiens (human)
Lineage: Eukaryota; Metazoa; Chordata; Mammalia; Primates; Hominidae
Description: HSALNT0302713
Source: RNAcentral
ACAGGGGUCACAGACAUUCAGAUCAUGGCAGAACUGUCACAGAUGUUACUUUGUGAAAACACAAAGAAUAAUGUGUUUGGAGAGAUCAGUCUUCAAUUAGCUAUAUUUUCUAGGAGCCUACCUUUACUUAGCCUCACAACAUGGGCCUUAGCUUUAGCACUUAAUCUGCACAAAUACCUGGCUUAAGUGUUAUGACUGACUGGCUAUUCAACCAAACCAUACAAAUGACCAAUUCGGUAAGAAAGCAUGAACUUCAGUGUUGAACCAAAUCAACCAACCUCCUCAAUCCAAAUGAACAAUGCUAUUCUAGGAGUCUGUGCUAGAAUAAAAUCCUAAUGCAAAGGCUGUCUUAAAAUGCUGAACCCAGAAGAAUUUGGCAUAAAUAAGACAUGGAGUUAGCUGACAUGAGAUAUUACAUUUAUUCCACUGUUGACGAGGACAAAACUGGGCCGCUAUUGUCACAGGCUUGCAGAGCUCAAACCAUUACACCAUUCAGAAGCUGGCUUUGGUAUUACUUCAAGUUAUUCAAAACAGUCACCACUUGCUGAGCCUCUGAUGUCUCAUCUGUUGAAUGGGUACAUUUUCUUCCUGAUCCUUCCACCUCUAAACUUGUCUAUUUCCAAGGAUCUAUGGCAUCCAGGCAUAUGAUUUCAAGAGAGAAGGCUGAAAAGGAAGGUGACUGGAAUAUUAAGAACUGUGAGAUAUUCUGAGGAAACUCUAAUUUGUAAAUUGGUAGAAAUGCCAGUAAUUUGUUGGGAAUUGAAGACCCUCUGUAUUCAAGAGCGAAGCUUGGCAGCUGUGCACUGUUGUUUUAUAAAUCA